RNAcentral lists this ribosomal RNA (468 nucleotides) under uncultured bacterium. Its description in RNAcentral is "partial 16S ribosomal RNA". It matches the Rfam family "Bacterial small subunit ribosomal RNA", at positions 28 to 507 of the family's 1533-position model. The record is from RNAcentral.
GACGAACGCUGGCGGCGUGCUUAACACAUGCAAGUCGAACGGAAAGGCCCUGCUUUUGUGGGGUGCUCGAGUGGCGAACGGGUGAGUAACACGUGAGUAACCUGCCCUUGACUUUGGGAUAACUUCAGGAAACUGGGGCUAAUACCGGAUAGGAGCUCCUGCUGCAUGGUGGGGGUUGGAAAGUUUCGGCGGGUGGGGAUGGACUCGCGGCUUAUCAGCUUGUUGGUGGGGUAGUGGCUUACCAAGGCUUUGACGGGUAGCCGGCCUGAGAGGGUGACCGGCCACAUUGGGACUGAGAUACGGACCAGACUCCUAUGGGAGGCAGCAGUGGGGAAUAUUGCACAAUGGGCGGAAGCCUGAUGCAGCAACGCCGCGUGCGGGAUGACGGCCUUCGGGUUGUAAACCGCUUUCGCCUGUGACGAAGCGUGAGUGACGGUAAUGGGAAAAGAAGCACCGGCUAACUACGUG